GAUCCUGGCUCAGGAUGAACGCUAGCUACAGGCUUAACACAUGCAAGUCGAGGGGCAGCAUCAUCAAAGCUUGCUUUGAUGGAUGGCGACCGGCGCACGGGUGAGUAACACGUAUCCAACCUGCCGACAACACUGGGAUAGCCCUUCGAAAGAAAGAUUAAUACCGGAUGGCAUAAUUAUUCCGCAUGGGAUAAUUAUUAAAGAAUUUCGGUUGUCGAUGGGGAUGCGUUCCAUUAGG
RNAcentral lists this ribosomal RNA (238 nucleotides) under uncultured bacterium. RNAcentral describes it as "partial 16S ribosomal RNA". It matches the Rfam family "Bacterial small subunit ribosomal RNA", at positions 15 to 245 of the family's 1533-position model. The record is from RNAcentral.